GACGAACGCUGGCGGCGUGCUUAACACAUGCAAGUCGUACGGUAAGGCCCUUUCGGGGGUCCACGAGUGGCGAACGGUUGCGUAACACGUGAGUAACCUGCCCACACCUUUUGUAUAACGCUAGGAAACUGGUGCUAAUACUGGAUAUGUUCUCCUGCUGCAUGGUGGGGGUUGGAAAGCUCCGGCGGUUGUGGAUGGACUCGCGGCCUAUCAGCUUGUUGGUGGGGUAGUGGCCUACCAAGGCGGCGACGGGUAGCCGGACUGAGAGGGUGACCGGCCACAUUGGGACUGAGAUAAGGCCCAGACUCCUACGGGAGGCAGAAGUGGGGAAUAUUGCACAAUGGGCGCAAGCCUGAUGCAGCAACGCCGCGGGCGGGAUGACGGCCUUCGGGUUGUAAACCGCUUUCAGCAGGGAAGAAGCUUUUUGUGACGGUACCUGCAGAAGAAGCACCGGCUAACUACGUG
Molecule: ribosomal RNA, 465 nt
Filed under: uncultured bacterium
Lineage: Bacteria
Description: partial 16S ribosomal RNA
Rfam family: Bacterial small subunit ribosomal RNA
Source: RNAcentral